Molecule: ribosomal RNA, 301 nt
Filed under: uncultured bacterium
Lineage: Bacteria
Description: partial 16S ribosomal RNA
Rfam family: Bacterial small subunit ribosomal RNA
Source: RNAcentral
CAGUAGCCGCGGUAAAACGAAGGGUGCAAGCGUUACUCGGAAUUACUGGGCGCAAAGCGUGCGUAGGUGGUGGUUUGAGUCCGUUGUGAAAGCCCUGGGCUCAACCUGGGAAUUGCAGUGGAUACUGGGUCACUAGAGUGUGGUAGAGGAUAGUGGAAUUUCCGGUGUAGCAGUGAAAUGCGUAGAGAUCGGAAGGAACAUCUGUGGCGAAGGCGACUAUCUGGGACAACACUGACGCUGAGGCACGAAAGCGUGGGGAGCAAACAGGAUUAGAUACCCCGGUAGUCCCUGUCUCUUAUAC